Esox lucius (northern pike) is the source of this 518-nucleotide long non-coding RNA. NCBI's taxonomy places the organism in Eukaryota, Metazoa, Chordata, Actinopteri, Esociformes, Esocidae. The record is from Ensembl.
CUGUCAUAGGUGCUAGUAUGUGUGUGUGAUCCGGUAUAGGCUGGAGAGUAAAAGACAUGUUGUAUCAUGGGAUUGAGCCCCGCCUCCUUUGGAUUCUUGAAGACUGCGGGGAAGAACCGGCUCUUCUUGUCCCUAGAGAACCUCUGUCUUCCGGACAACUGGACUCUCAGCAUCGGAUCCUCACCAUGAAACUCUGUAAUUCCCAGUGUCAAGCUGCACAAAUCCUAUUGGAUAGAGAGAAGAUAGGAAGAGGGGUGGCGAGGAGGUGCAUCCUUCCGCAACUGUUCUUGACCUGAAAAUUCGAUUUCAUAAAACAUGCCCUGCCAGACACCCAUCAAGAACCGGACUUCGACUUACUCCCAGUAAGUACUCCUGGAAUACCGGUUGAAAGGAUUUGUUUUUAAGAGGUACGUAAGCAUGGAUGAAACACUGAUUGACACAUUAGGAAAAGGAAUUCAAGAUAUCAAAACACGCCAAGGAAGAAAAAAAAAAAACACUGCAAAAUACAACAUUACGAC